AAACCGUGUACGUACAAGCAGUGGGAGCACGCUUAGGCGUGUGACUGCGUACCUUUUGUAUAAUGGGUCAGCGACUUAUAUUCUGUAGCAAGGUUAACCGAAUAGGGGAGCCGAAGGGAAACCGAGUCUUAACUGGGCGUUAAGUUGCAGGGUAUAGACCCGAAACCCGGUGAUCUAGCCAUGGGCAGGUUGAAGGUUGGGUAACACUAACUGGAGGACCGAACCGACUAAUGUUGAAAAAUUAGCGGAUGACUUGUGGCUGGGGGUGAAAGGCCAAUCAAACCGGGAGAUAGCUGGUUCUCCCCGAAAGCUAUUUAGGUAGCGCCUCGUGAAUUCAUCUCCGGGGGUAGAGCACUGUUUCGGCAAGGGGGUCAUCCCGACUUACCAACCCGAUGCAAACUGCGAAUACCGGAGAAUGUUAUCACGGGAGACACACGGCGGGUGCUAACGUCCGUCGUGAAGAGGGAAACAACCCAGACCGCCAGCUAAGGUCCCAAAGUCAUGGUUAAGUGGGAAACGAUGUGGGAAGGCCCAGACAGCCAGGAUGUUGGCUUAGAAGCAGCCAUCAUUUAAAGAAAGCGUAAUAGCUCACUGGUCGAGUCGGCCUGCGCGGAAGAUGUAACGGGGCUAAACCAUGCACCGAAGCUGCGGCAGCGACGCUGAUGCGUUGUUGGGUAGGGGAGCGUUCUGUAAGCCUGCGAAGGUGUGCUGUGAGGCAUGCUGGAGGUAUCAGAAGUGCGAAUGCUGACAUAAGUAACGAUAAAGCGGGUGAAAAGCCCGCUCGCCGGAAGACCAAGGGUUCCUGUCCAACGUUAAUCGGGGCAGGGUGAGUCGACCCCUAAGGCGAGGCCGAAAGGCGUAGUCGAUGGGAAACAGGUUAAUAUUCCUGUACUUGGUGUUACUGCGAAGGGGGGACGGAGAAGGCUAUGUUGGCCGGGCGACGGUUGUCCCGGUUUAAGCGUGUAGGCUGGUUUUCCAGGCAAAUCCGGAAAAUCAAGGCUGAGGCGUGAUGACGAGGCACUGCGGUGCUGAAGCAACAAAUGCCCUGCUUCCAGGAAAAGCCUCUAAGCAUCAGGUAACAUCAAAUCGUACCCCAAACCGACACAGGUGGUCAGGUAGAGAAUACCAAGGCGCUUGAGAGAACUCGGGUGAAGGAACUAGGCAAAAUGGUGCCGUAACUUCGGGAGAAGGCACGCUGAUAUGUAGGUGAAGUCCCUCGCGGAUGGAGCUGAAAUCAGUCGAAGAUACCAGCUGGCUGCAACUGUUUAUUAAAAACACAGCACUGUGCAAACACGAAAGUGGACGUAUACGGUGUGACGCCUGCCCGGUGCCGGAAGGUUAAUUGAUGGGGUUAGCGCAAGCGAAGCUCUUGAUCGAAGCCCCGGUAAACGGCGGCCGUAACUAUAACGGUCCUAAGGUAGCGAAAUUCCUUGUCGGGUAAGUUCCGACCUGCACGAAUGGCGUAAUGAUGGCCAGGCUGUCUCCACCCGAGACUCAGUGAAAUUGAACUCGCUGUGAAGAUGCAGUGUACCCGCGGCAAGACGGAAAGACCCCGUGAACCUUUACUAUAGCUUGACACUGAACAUUGAGCCUUGAUGUGUAGGAUAGGUGGGAGGCUU
RNAcentral lists this ribosomal RNA (1619 nucleotides) under Escherichia coli. RNAcentral's name for it is "bacterial LSU rRNA". It matches the Rfam family "Bacterial large subunit ribosomal RNA", at positions 553 to 2157 of the family's 2925-position model. Lineage: Bacteria; Pseudomonadati; Pseudomonadota; Gammaproteobacteria; Enterobacterales; Enterobacteriaceae. The record is from RNAcentral.